This 1716-nucleotide long non-coding RNA is filed under the name Gossypium barbadense (sea-island cotton). RNAcentral describes it as "long non-coding RNA (GBAR_LNC010510)". The record is from RNAcentral. Lineage: Eukaryota; Viridiplantae; Streptophyta; Magnoliopsida; Malvales; Malvaceae.
CAACCAAAAUAGUACCCAAAAGAGCCUUUGAUAGUGUGGGCGACUUCGACUUCAAGAUCCCGAGUCCGAUAGCUGGAGAACCAAAAAUCUAUAAAACAGAGGAGCAAUGUAACGAGUAAGCAAUUUAUGCUUAGUAAGUUUGAGCAAGGAAUUCCAGCAUGCACAAAGAAUAGCACACAUUUAGCUAAACGGAAUAUUUCAUAAUACGCAAUUUACCGAUAUCAAACUUGCUUCACAACAUUAACAACCCUUAUGUACAUACACAAUAAACUAACUUGGCCGAAGGCCGGUAGCUCGUUUAUCAACUGAGCGAACAUUUAUUUGUAAGGGCUCGAUUAAAUUCAACACAUACGUAACAUAUCCCCAUAUUGGGAUGUUUUUCGAGUAUUCGCUGGAAUUUUACAGCAAGCUCAUUCAUUACCAAAUCACGUACCUUCGGGAUUUAACCGGAUAUAGCUCCUCGUUCAAAUGCAUUCGGGACAUAGCCCGGUUUUAGUAACUCACACAAUGCCUUCGGGACAUAACCCGGAUUUAACAACUCGCACGACUGCCUUCGAGACUUAACCCGGAUUUAAUAACUCGCACGAAUGCCUUCGGGACUUAACCCGGAUUUAAUAACUCGCACGAAUGCCUUCGGGACUUAACCCGGAUUUAGUAUCUCGCACAAAGGCCUUCGGAUCUUAAUCCGGAUAUAUUCACUUAUCACAAAGCCUUCGGGACUUAGCCCGGACAGCAUUCAAUUAAUCAUGCACAUCUAACAAUAAUUCAUAGCACAUUCAUAUUUCAUUUUCGUUUACGAAACUCAAACACAAGGCACAUAUUGUCCUUGCACAUUCGGCUCAAUAGCCACACAUAGAGCAUGAUUUAAUCACAUCGAAAUUUAAGCUCUCUUACUCAAGAACUUACCUCGGGUGUUGUCGAACGAUUCCGCUAGCUAUUCAACCACUUUUUCCUUCCCUUUAUCGGUUUUAUUUCCCCUUUGCUCUUGAGCUUAAUCAAACAAAUAAAUUGACCUCAUCAUUUUAGGCAUCAAAAGAUGAACACAAGGCACUUAGCCCAUAUUUAUACAUUAGACAUUAAAGUCUCAUACAUGCAAAAAUCAUGCAUCAACACAACAUAUUAGCUAAUUUCUUGCCCUUGGCCGAAUAUGCAUGUCCAUUUUUGGGGUCGAUUUCAACACUUAAUACACACAUGUACACACUAGUAAAGCAUCCUCCCCCUUUUCAUCAAUUUAACACAUGCAUUGCUCAUUAACAUGCAAAGUUACAUUCGGCCUUAGCACACAUCUUGCUAGCCGAUUCUUCUCCAUUUAGCAACCAAUGCACAUAUGUGCUCACACAACAAAAAAAUGCUAAAAAGGAGGUUCAAGAAUCAUCAAGCCAUCAUCACAUGCAUCAUUAACAAGCUUCAUAUUUUGCAUGCAAUGGCAUUAACACAACCUCCACCUAGGCCGAAUCUUAACUCAUCCUCAUGCCUCAUCACCACAACAUCAAACAUCAACCAAGAAUGAUUCAUCCAUGGUCAAGUGCCAUUUCCAUCACAUAGCAAGAUUUAGACCAUGGGUUAGGUAGAACUCAAGCUAACAACUAAAACAUGCAUGCCUCUCAUGGAACAUCAUCAAACAUACCUUAGCCUAGCUAUAUGCAUGGCCGAAUCUCUUCACCUUUCUUCUUCUUUCCUCCUUAAAAUUUUUGGCCAAGGAUGAACCAAAGGAUG